AGUUUACACAAGACCGAGGAGGAAACAUGUUGAGACUCAGAGCUCCUAAGACUUUAUGUUGUUGUUGGGAACUUUUCAAAAGUCAGUCAUGGCAUCCAGUUUUUUUGCUGUGUUUUGUUUUGUUCUCUCUCCCUUUCUGUCUUGCUCUCUCUUCUUUCUUUCUUCCUUUCUGUUUGUUUCUAUCUUUCUUUCCUUCUCUCUCUGUCUGUCUCUGUCUCUGUCUCUGUCUGUGUCUGUCUCUGUCUCUGCCUCUGUCUCUGUCUCUGUCUCUCUCUCUUUCAUGUCAAUACUGAAUGACUGGUAAAAAGAAACCAACUUAAUUGUUUUCGGAAUGGGGUGUAAACUGGGACCUGACUUCUUUAAGGUUUCACAAGCCCUGCCAGAGUUUCAUGGACUCCUAAUGAAGUCUGGAGAAGAUAUCUGCUGGUGGCAAUCACUUCACAAAGUAAGGAAGAAGAAAAGAGAAUUUCUUCCUGUCACUGAGAAGCAUUUCUUCAGACAUCCAAAUAUUCACAGUUUGUUCAGGACGCAUUUUAUUUUAUGAUCACCAGAUUAGAAAGGAGACAGAGUAGACAAGAAGGCACUGGGGGAUGCUUUCCUAGGAUGUCCAGAAGAUAGAUGACAAAGAUGAAGGCAACAGGAGCUCAAGGAAGAUGUAUCAGUAGAUACAACAAAGGAAUUGAUUCUUUUAAAAGCUAAGGUUGUCCAGGCAUCAAUCAUUACAAAGUAAAUGACAAAUGGGUGGGAUAGACCACUCACACCCCAUCAAGUCACUGCUGAAAUGACCAUGAGGCUCAACUACAACUACCAUCUGGUGUGUGCCAUCUCUAGUGGUUUGUCUGAAGGACAAGGGUGGACAAGACACACAGAGAAACACAGCCCACAACUUGACUGUAUCCUCUAAUGUUGAAUGUAUACUUAUGAGUGUACCUAUGGUCUCCCUUCAAAAGGAUCUUCCUAUGUCUGUGCAUGAUGGGCUUCAAGUUUUGAGCAAGUGACAUUUUAUAAACAAUUUUGGAGCCAUGCCCAUAGCAUACUCAUCAAUUUCAGUCAAUCCUCACCACCCUUGCAACCAGAGACUUGCAGACACUGGUCUGUCAGCCUUUCUCAGAAUAUUUAAAGUACAGUAUGAAAAUUCCUUGUCUAUUAAAAAUCUAGAGACACACAACUAGAGUCCUUCAUAUUUUUAAAGUAUAUGGAAAAGCAAGAAGCCUGAUGAACCAGAGAGAAUUGCACUUUUGUGAAUAUACUAGAAUUCCAUUACUAGAUAAAGUAUUGACCAAAAGGGCUAAGAAAGCAGAAAUGCUUAAACUAAGUCGUCUUAUGAGGUACAAGUGAGUUGAUUUUGGACUUCUAUUAAUAUGUACCCAAAAUAUGUGGUACACUAUGCAGUGUCUCUACGCUUUAUAAGGUCGUCAUCAAAAUAGAGAGCUCCAAAAAGAUGUCAUAAAACAUCACACUAAAUUGCAGACUUCCUUAUUUGGAAAGUAUUCUAGCUUUCCAUCAUUAUGACAGAAUACCUGAGAUUAUUACGUUAAAAAGAGAAAAGGUUGACUUAGGUCAUGGUUUUAGAAAUACCAUUCCAUGGCUGAAUAAAUUCACUAUCCAACAUG
This is a long non-coding RNA of Mus musculus (house mouse), 1613 nucleotides long. RefSeq annotates it as predicted gene 8179. The transcript has 3 exons. NCBI's taxonomy places the organism in Eukaryota, Metazoa, Chordata, Mammalia, Rodentia, Muridae. The record is from RefSeq and is marked validated.